GACGAACGCUGGCGGCGUGCUUAACACAUGCAAGUCGAACGGAAAGGCCCUGCUUGCAGGGUACUCGCGUGGCGAACGGGUGAGUAACACGUGGGUGAACUGCCCUGCACUUCGGGAUAAGCCUGGGAAACUGGGUCUAAUACCGGAAAGGAGCCAUUUUAAGUGUGAUGGUUGGAAAGUUUUUUCGGUGUAGGAUGAGCUCGCGGCCUAUCAGCUUGUUGGUGGGGUAAUGGCCUACCAAGGCGGCGACGGGUAGCCGGCCUGGGAGGGUGGACGGCCACAUUGGGACUGAGGUACGGCCCCGACUCCUACGGGAGGCAGCAGUGGGGAAUAUUGCACAAUGGGCGCAAGCCUGAUGCAGCGACGCCGCGUGGGGGAUGACGGCCUUCGGGUUGUAAACUCCUUUCGCUAGGGACGAAGCUUUUUGUGACGGUACCUAGAUAAGAAGCACCGGCUAACUACGUG
This 465-nucleotide ribosomal RNA is filed under the name uncultured bacterium. Its description in RNAcentral is "partial 16S ribosomal RNA". It matches the Rfam family "Bacterial small subunit ribosomal RNA", at positions 28 to 507 of the family's 1533-position model. The record is from RNAcentral.